RNAcentral lists this ribosomal RNA (276 nucleotides) under uncultured prokaryote. RNAcentral describes it as "partial 16S ribosomal RNA". It matches the Rfam family "Bacterial small subunit ribosomal RNA", at positions 524 to 801 of the family's 1533-position model. The record is from RNAcentral.
UACGUAGGGGCUAGCGUUAUCCGGAAUUACUGGGCGUAAAGGGUGCGUAGGUGGUUUCUUAAGUCAGAGGUGAAAGGCUACGGCUCAACCGUAGUAGGCCUUUGAAACUGGUCGACUUGAGUGCAGAAGAGGGAAGUGGAAUUCCACGUGUAGCGGUGAAAUGCGUAGAGAUGUGGAGGAACACCAGUGGCGAAGGCGGCUUCCUGGUCUGUAACUGACACUGAGGCGCGAAAGCGUGGGGAGCAAACAGGAUUAGAUACCCUGGUAGUCCCUGAG